AAAAUAUUAUUUUUCACUAAAAUAUGAAAAUCCACCUUGAAUUUUUCGGGUGUUACAUUUUCGGAGAAUGUUUUCUGAGAAUAUUUUAUGAGAAUGAAAACAAAAAACUAAUUUGCAUUUUAUGAGAAUGAAAAUGCAUUUAGUAGAUUAAUUGGAAAACAGAUUUAGAAAAUAAAAAUAGUGAAAACUUGUCUGCGGCUAUGGCAGAAAUUGAUGCAUUUGGUAGAUGAAUUGGAAAACAGAUUCAGAUCUUGG
This 255-nucleotide long non-coding RNA is filed under the name Prunus persica (peach). Its description in RNAcentral is "long non-coding RNA (PPER_LNC006759)". The record is from RNAcentral. Lineage: Eukaryota; Viridiplantae; Streptophyta; Magnoliopsida; Rosales; Rosaceae.